Molecule: ribosomal RNA, 3025 nt
Filed under: Durio zibethinus
Lineage: Eukaryota; Viridiplantae; Streptophyta; Magnoliopsida; Malvales; Malvaceae
Description: eukaryotic LSU rRNA
Rfam family: Eukaryotic large subunit ribosomal RNA (bases 635-3025)
Source: RNAcentral
AUAAGGGUGUUGCUAGAACAAGUGAGGGAAAAUGUCAUGAUCCAUGCGCAAGUCCUAAGUUUAAAGGAUUAUGAGACACAACUUGUUUAAGUUGGUGUAGUCAAAGGAUCAAGAAGGAUCAAGACCAAGGUCCUAAAGGCACAUAUGAGGCCUGAGUAUGCAGGCUAAGGCCUAGGCUAAGGUUUGACAAAAUGGCAAGGUGAGCAACCUGGUGUCAAGAAUAAGCUAGGUGCAUUAGCAUAAAAGAGUUUAGAGAAGCUUGGAGGCUAGCCUAGUGUGCAAGCACUAAAGUUUCUAAAAUGGCUUGGAGUAGGAACAGUAGUAGGUAUUGUAGUGCCCAGAUAAGGAAGGCUUAGAAAGGCCCUAGUUAUGGGAAGAACAGUGACUAGACGGGGAAGGUUCUAGAACUCAUUAGGCAUAGGCACUUAGCAGGAGUGCCCAGACUCUUCUAGACCUGAGGCUCAGCAGGGAGCUUAGAACAAGCUGGAUUCUACAAAGGCCUUAGCCAAAUUACAACAUGUCUAGGGGCCAUGAAAGGGUCUAAAAGGCUUACAAGAGCCACACACUUAGAUAAAUAAAGGCCAUAUAUGUUAGGAAGGCUCAGGUAUAAAUAAAGGCCUUCCCUCUCAUUUGUAAUUCAUAGAAGAAGCAACAAGAGAAAAGUAAAAGGAACCAAGUCAUAGACUUUGUUAUUAGAGACUUAGGGAUAGACAUAAGAGUCAAUGUAAAAGUAAUUGUACAUAGCAUCAAGUAAAUAGAAAUACAAUUUCUUUAACUCUCUUUCCUAGCUUUCUUCCAAGCUCUUAAGGAGCCAAUGGAGUCCAUAGCACAAGUGUUUAGCAUAGAGUCAGAAAAGAGGCUAUCUUAGGCAUAUGCAUAGUAUUUUCUAGACUAAAGCCACAUGGGUGCUAGAUUUAAGCCCUCAACCUAUGACACCUACUGCUGAUGCUACCCCAAACCCCUAACCUCUUACUAAGUCCCUGAAUCGAGCAAUGGCUCCCUAGGAUGGUGCAAGCAGAAGCUAUGAUCAUAGGCUUGGUCUAGCAAAGUCUUUUAGGUAUUUGGUAGUCUCAUGGGCCUUUCUCGUUGACCACAAAAAUGCCUUUGUCUAGCCAAUCUCGUGCAUGUGUCAUAGGCCAAGGCUUAAGCCUAAGAGUGGAAAAGUCCCAUGUGAAUAACAUUUGCACAUGGGUUAGUCGAUCUUAAGAGAUGAGACAAGCCCAUCUGAUAGUGCAUCCAACAUGAGCUUCGAAAGGAAAUCAACUAGGACAUGAUAGUUGAUGGCAAUGUUAGGUAGUCUAAAGACAUUAGUAGGGGCCUUGGGAAGAGUUAUCUUUUUUGUUUAACAACCUGCCCACCCUAGAAAUGGCUCAAUCAGAUGUAGGGUCCAAUGGCUAGAAAAAGCACUGCAUGUUGCAUAGUGUUCAGUAUGCCCCAACAGGUUUUGAAAAUCUAGAGGACUGAGUGCUAUCUGCACUCGAUGGUACUCAUAAUCGCAUCAGGUCUCUAAAGUGAAUAGCUUCUUGUCAAUGGAAUAGUGUUGGCAAAGGAAGUCAACAAAAUAGAUCUAUAACCUCGAUAAAAGGAUUAGCUUUGGGGGCUAGGCAUAGAGGUCCCAGUCUCAAACCCAUUCGAUGUUGGUGAACUACUUGAACCACUCCCAUGGUUAGAGUGGGUCACUGCGUAUCAGUUGGGGGAUGGUUGGGAAUGGCACCCUCAGGGGCCUUUUUUAAAUGACAAAUAGUUAACUUAAAACUGGUAUAGACAAGGGGAAUUUGACUAUUUAAUUAAAACAAAGCAUUGCGAUGGUCCCUACAGAUGCUCACGUAAUGUGAUUUCUACCAAGUGCUUUGAAUGUCAAAGUGAAAAAAUUCAACCAUGCACAGAUAAAUGGCAGGAGUAACUAUGACUCUUUGAAGGUAACCAAAUGCCUCGUCAACUAAUUAGUGAUGUACAUGAAUGGAUUAAUAAGAUUCCCAUUAUCCCUGUCUACUAUCUAGAGAAACCAUAGCCAAUGGAAUAGCUUGGUAGAAUCAAUAGGAAAGAAGACCUUGUUGAGCUUGACUCUAAUCCAACUUUGUGAAAUGACUUGAGAGGUGUAGGACAAGUGGGAGCCCUCAAGCAAAAUUGAAAUACCACUACUUUUAACAUUAUUUUACCUAUUUGAUGAAUCAAAGGCAAGGCAUGACCCCUUAUUUUAGGCCCAAGGCUAGCCUUGCUCGAUUUAUCAGGGUAAAAGACAAUGUCAGGUGGGUAGAUUGGCUGGGGCAGCACAUUUAUUAAAAGAUAAUGCAAGUGUCCUAAAAUGAACUUAACGAGAAUAGAAAUCUCAUGUGGAACAAAAGUGUAAAAGCUUGUUUGAUUCUAAUUUCUAGUAUGAAUAUGAACUAUGAAAACAUGGCCUAUCAAUCAUUUGAAAUUUGAAGCUAGAGGUGUCAAAAAAGUUAACACAAGGAUAACUAGCUUGUGGUAGCCAAGUGUUCAUAGCGACAUUGCUUUUUGAUCCUUCGAUGUUUGCUUUUUCUAUCAUUGUGAAGCAUAAUUCACCAAAUGUUGGAUUGUUCACGCAGCAAUAGGGAACAUAAGUUGGGUUUAAACUGUCAUGAGAUAGGUUAGUUUUACCUUAUUGAUGGCAGUGUCACAAUAGUAAUUUAACCUAGUAUGAGAAGAACCAUUGAUUCGCACAAUUGGUCAUCGCACUCAAUUAAAAAGCUAGUGGCAUGAAGCUACCAAGCUUUGUAUUAUGACUAAAUGCAUCUAAGUAAGAAUCUAGGCUAGAAGCAAUGCACAUGCCCAUCACUCAAUUGCCAACCUAUAGUAAGGGCCCAUGGACCAUAAGAGCAAAUGUUGUAGGUAUAGCCCUCAUGGCAGACAGGCCAUGCAAGCCUCUUGGAGCUUAAUUCCCAUCGAGCAAUGGGUAGAAUCCUUUGCAAAUGACUUAAAUAUGUAAUAGGGUAUUGUAAGGGGUAGAGUGACCUUGCUACCACAAUCCACUAAGAUUCAGCCCUUUGUCACUUCAAUUCAU